RNAcentral lists this non-coding RNA (32 nucleotides) under Macaca fascicularis (crab-eating macaque). RNAcentral also lists the same sequence under 2 other names. The record is from RNAcentral. Lineage: Eukaryota; Metazoa; Chordata; Mammalia; Primates; Cercopithecidae.
AGAAAUAUGUCUGACAAAAGAAUUACUUUGAU